Molecule: long non-coding RNA, 541 nt
Filed under: Trifolium pratense (red clover)
Lineage: Eukaryota; Viridiplantae; Streptophyta; Magnoliopsida; Fabales; Fabaceae
Description: long non-coding RNA (TPRA_LNC003787)
Source: RNAcentral
AUUUUUAUUUACUAUAUAUAAUUCAUAUAAUUCUAGAAUGUGAAAAAAAUCAAAUUUUGAUCAACACCAAAUUUGUGACAUUAACAUAAAAAUUUGUCGUUCUUACAAAGUAUCAAGUGCACCACUACGGCACUACAUUAUAUCUAAAAUACAUAACGGAAAGUAACUAAAGCUAAUUCGUCGGAAUAUAAUUAUCUGCUAGUCUUCAUCUCUUCCAUCUUCAUCAAUGUGUGGACUUGGAUAAUUUGUUUGAUCUUGAACCUAUCGAAAAUAUAUAUAUAUAAGUUAUAAACUCAACUUAAUAGAUGUCAUCAACUAAAAACAAGCUAUUUUAUUUAGUCCAAUCUAACCACAACACAACCAUGUAUCAUAAAUUAUAUUCAAGCUAAGUCUCAGUGCUGCAAGAUAAAAACAUAAGUGAAAUUCUAGUAUAGCAGAACCAGAUGUUGUACAGAAUGUCGAGACAUCUGGUCUGACAUGAACAAUACGGCAAGGCAUAUAACAUUAAAAACGGAUACUGAGAAAUAAUGUUUGAUCAGAU